GAUGAACGCUGGCGGCGUGCCUAAUACAUGCAAGUCGAGCGAACAGACGAGGAGCUUGCUCCUCUGACGUUAGCGGCGGACGGGUGAGUAACACGUGGAUAACCUACCUAUAAGACUGGGAUAACUUCGGGAAACCGGAGCUAAUACCGGAUAAUAUAUUGAACCACAUGGUUCAAUAGUGAAAGACGGUUUUGCUGUCACUUAUAGAUGGAUCCGCGCCGCAUUAGCUAGUUGGUAAGGUAACGGCUUACCAAGGCAACGAUGCGUAGCCGACCUGAGAGGGUGAUCGGCCACACUGGAACUGAGACACGGUCCAGACUCCUACGGGAGGCAGCAGUAGGGAAUCUUCCGCAAUGGGCGAAAGCAUGACGGAGCAACGCCGCGUGAGUGAUGAAGGUCUUCGGAUCGUAAAACUCUGUUAUUAGGGAAGAACAAAUGUGUAAGUAACUAUGCACGUCUUGACGGUACCUAAUCAGAAAGCCACGGCUAACUACGUG
Molecule: ribosomal RNA, 497 nt
Filed under: uncultured bacterium
Lineage: Bacteria
Description: partial 16S ribosomal RNA
Rfam family: Bacterial small subunit ribosomal RNA
Source: RNAcentral